GCACUACUGACGAGUCCCACAAUGGGACGAAACAGCCUUUUAGUGC
Non-coding RNA from Schistosoma curassoni, 46 nucleotides. The record is from Rfam. NCBI's taxonomy places the organism in Eukaryota, Metazoa, Platyhelminthes, Trematoda, Strigeidida, Schistosomatidae.